Molecule: ribosomal RNA, 411 nt
Filed under: uncultured bacterium
Lineage: Bacteria
Description: bacterial SSU rRNA
Rfam family: Bacterial small subunit ribosomal RNA
Source: RNAcentral
ACAUGCAAGUCGAGGGGCAGUUCCGACUUCGGUUGGAAGCGACCGGCGAACGGGUGAGUAACACGUUUGUAACCUACCCCUGACUGGAGGAUAGGUCCCGGAAACGGGAAUUAAUACUCCAUAAUAUUGAUCCGGGGCAUCCCGGAUGAAUUAAAGCUCCGGUGGUCAGGGACGGGCAUGCGUGACAUUAGCUUGUUGGUGGGGUAAGGGCCUACCAAGGCGACGAUCCGUAGCUGGUCUAAGAGGAUGAUCAGCCACACUGGGACUGAGACACGGCCCAGACUCCUACGGGAGGCAGCAGUGGGGAAUUUUCCGCAAUGGGGGGAACCCUGACGGAGCAACGCCGCGUGCGGGAGGAAGGCCUUCGGGUUGUAAACCGCUUUUCUCUGGGAAGAAGAACUGACGUACCAG